Molecule: non-coding RNA, 766 nt
Organism: Manis javanica (Malayan pangolin)
Lineage: Eukaryota; Metazoa; Chordata; Mammalia; Pholidota; Manidae
Source: RefSeq, a predicted model, not a curated record
CGUUUUGCUGUCCAUUCUUUUCGUCACACUGAAUCCAUAGCGAAUUUGGCCGGGGCUGAAACCCAUUGGCAAUACAGAGCCGUUUUCAAGGAUACAAGCCUUGCAUGUGCGAUGUGGUGAACCAACCGGACCCAACACGGAUGGGCGACUUCUGCUGCUCCUGUGAUGUCCAGUCACAGGAUGGACACCUGAGAGAAACACCUUUCUACAGUGGGCCCACUGGGAUGCCCGGCAAAGGAAUCAAUCCAGCUGUCAGGCAAAUCGGCAAAGGCAAGUGACUGCCUUGGGAGCAACUAUGACAGAGGUUUUAAAAUACGUUCCUGAGCCAGGUCCAUUCUUACUACAAAUGGUAUCAGAAUUGUGUUUCACACGAGCAAUCCUGAGGUACUUCAUCUGAAUCAAGAGGAGACAAGUCUAAAUGAAUAUUUAAAAAUCUCUGUUUCCUCGUAUCAGAGAUCUUAUCCACUAUGGAAACUGCAUCUCAUUAAAGGACAUUUUAAAGCAUAUAGAGAGAGAGCAGGAAGGAGACAAUUAAUUCUGUAAUGAAGAUAAUGAGUUUAAGAAAGAAAGCAAGGUGACUAAAGAAAACCACUCUUUGUCUAAAUCUAAGGAAAUGAUGACUAUUGAAAAUACCAAUAAUGUCCUUUGGAUUUUUCCUUUGAGUUGUCAGACCACUCAUGUAAUUAUGUAUACAUUUAUUUAUUGGAAUUUUGGUGUAACUUUUAUUUGAAUAUAGUAAACAUACCUAAAGUGGACAUAGGAAAAU